Molecule: ribosomal RNA, 329 nt
Filed under: uncultured eukaryote
Lineage: Eukaryota
Description: partial 18S ribosomal RNA
Rfam family: Eukaryotic small subunit ribosomal RNA
Source: RNAcentral
CCCUUAGAUGUUCUGGGCCGCACGCGCGCUACAAUGAUGAAUUCAACGAGUUUAUAACCUUGGUUGAAAAGCCUGGGUAAUCUUUUGAACUUUCGUCGUGAUGGGGCUAGACCCUUGCAAUUAUUGGUCUCCAACGAGGAUUUCCUAGUAAACGCAAGUCAUCAGCUUGCAUUGAUUACGUCCCUGCCCUUUGUACACACCGCCCGUCGCACCUACCGAUUGAAUGGUCCGGUGAAAUCUUCGGAUUGAGACUUUGAUUUCUUCACGGAAAACGCUGUUUUAAAAAGUUGAUUAAACCUUACCAUUUAGAGGAAGGUGAAGUCGUAACA